Molecule: non-coding RNA, 658 nt
Organism: Cyanistes caeruleus (blue tit)
Lineage: Eukaryota; Metazoa; Chordata; Aves; Passeriformes; Paridae
Source: RefSeq, a predicted model, not a curated record
ACUGCUGUGUUUUCUAGAAUAGGCUAUCAGAGUCUCUAAAAAAUGUUUAGUUUAAAAAUAUUAUAUAUGUUUGAAGUUCAAAUACAUUAUUCUUAAUUCUCUUACCUAUUUGUUUUGGUCUGGAUUUUGAUAAGAGUUACUCUGCUCCAGACUAGAACUAGAAAUCCAAAGUGCUGAUGAGGAAGAAUUUGGCUUGUUGACAUCCAGAUUCUAGACUCAGAACCUGACCCUGUAAUAGUAUAACAAACUAAAACAUUUCCCACCAACUUGUAUUUCCCAGUUAUAAACCAUGGGGAUUAAAGAGAGACCUAAACCCAAACUAGGAAUUUCUGCAACCCACAUACGAAUUUUCUUCAAAGCCUGGAUCUUAACACCAGCCCCACAAGGACACUACAACGUAUUCCACGGAGCGAUCUGAGCACUUUAAGCCAUGCAAAGACAAGGACCUUGCAUAUUGUCUCAACGAAGGGGAAUGCUUUGUGAUCGAAACCCUAACGGGAUCCCACAAACACUGCCGGUGGUUUUGUCCAAGCCUCUGUGCUAUUGGAAUGAUAAUAAUUUAAUCUUGGUCCUGUGAGUCCAAAAUCAGUACAGCUCAGAAGAAUCAAAGCCUUGUCAAUUAUCAGGCUAUCACAGUGUACUUCUGGAAGAUUUUUCA